Molecule: long non-coding RNA, 305 nt
Filed under: Salvia miltiorrhiza (redroot sage)
Lineage: Eukaryota; Viridiplantae; Streptophyta; Magnoliopsida; Lamiales; Lamiaceae
Description: long non-coding RNA (SMIL_LNC000077)
Source: RNAcentral
GUUGAUUAAUCUAAUUAAUCUGCGUCCUUAAAUCACUUUGGUCGAGUUUCACGCCACAAAUGAUCAAGCAAGUCAACCCCAUCACACGGUGCCAACCUAUGAAUGAGCCUUGGCCUUGUAGACUAGAGCAAACACUUGGGUGUAAAUACUCUUGAUCGAAAAGGAUGGGUUGCUCAGACAAUUAUGAUGGACGACGCGUUUUGUGCUUACACAAAGACUUAUAUUUAAUGGGGAUUUAGCAUGUGAUACUAAUUGCUUAUAUUUAAUAUCCAAUAUUAAAUAGCAACACAAUUACUGGGUGCCGC